AACAGGAUUAGAUACCCUGGUAGUCCACGCUGUAAACGAUGUCGACUUGGAGGUUGUGCCCUUGAGGCGUGGCUUCCGGAGCUAACGCGUUAAGUCGACCGCCUGGGGAGUACGGCCGCAAGGUUAAAACUCAAAUGAAUUGACGGGGGCCCGCACAAGCGGUGGAGCAUGUGGUUUAAUUCGAUGCAACGCGAAGAACCUUACCUACUCUUGACAUCCAGAGAAUUUGCUAGAGAUAGCUUAGUGCCUUCGGGAACUCUGAGACAGGUGCUGCAUGGCUGUCGUCAGCUCGUGUUGUGAAAUGUUGGGUUAAGUCCCGCAACGAGCGCAACCCUUAUCCUUUGUUGCCAGCGAGUAAUGUCGGGAACUCAAAGGAGACUGCCGGUGAUAAACCGGAGGAAGGUGGGGAUGACGUCAAGUCAUCAUGGCCCUUACGAGUAGGGCUACACACGUGCUACAAUGGCAUAUACAAAGAGAAGCGAACUCGCGAGAGCAAGCGGACCUCAUAAAGUAUGUCGUAGUCCGGAUUGGAGUCUGCAACUCGACUCCAUGAAGUCGGAAUCGCUAGUAAUCGUAGAUCAGAAUGCUACGGUGAAUACGUUCCCGGGCCUUGUGCACACCGCCCGUCACACCAUGGGAGUGGGUUGCAAAAGAAGUAGGUAGCUUAACCUUCGGGAGGGCGCUUACCACUUUGUGAUUCAUGACUGGGGUGAAGUCGUAACAAGGUAACC
This 731-nucleotide ribosomal RNA is filed under the name uncultured bacterium. RNAcentral describes it as "bacterial SSU rRNA". It matches the Rfam family "Bacterial small subunit ribosomal RNA", at positions 771 to 1501 of the family's 1533-position model. The record is from RNAcentral.